CGAGGACCGAGCUCUUCUUUCUCUGCUUCCUUCUCCUUUCUUCUCCCCUCCCCUGUCCUCAUUCCCUGCCUUCUGUCUUGCCCACUCCCACCCCAUUUUCUGUUCCCUGCCCGUUUCCAUUUUCAGCCCUCCUACCUUCUCCCUGCUCUCUUCUCUCCCCUCCCUUUGGCUCUCUUCCCCCUUGCUGCCUGGGAAGCAGCAUCCAGCUUCUGCCUUCCAAGACCUACUGGGGGAGAAGAAGAGGAUCCCUGGACCUAUUUGGACUUCUCACACGCUAAAGAGGUGUCAUUCCAGCAGCCUGGAGAAGGAGAUAUGGCCAGAGAAUCUUCGUUUCUAAGAGGCAGAGGAUGCAGAGGAUGACCCCCUGCACCUUCCAGGAUCAGAGGAUCCUGAUGCGGUCAACUUACCACCAGGGGCCAGUUGGUCUCCUCAGGAAACAAUGCCAUUUCAAGGGUUUGAUGUUGGCUUUUCAUUACGGACAAGUUGGACAUUCAGAAGUGGCAGGAGCUAGAUGAGCCUUGGGUAGGUGGAAGCCCAUGUCAUUGGCCUGCCCAAGAGCAGC
Molecule: long non-coding RNA, 562 nt
Organism: Cebus imitator (Panamanian white-faced capuchin)
Lineage: Eukaryota; Metazoa; Chordata; Mammalia; Primates; Cebidae
Exons: 3
Source: RefSeq, a predicted model, not a curated record